GGUAUAGUUUAGUGGUAAAA
Molecule: transfer RNA, 20 nt
Filed under: Syntrichia lithophila
Lineage: Eukaryota; Viridiplantae; Streptophyta; Bryopsida; Pottiales; Pottiaceae
Description: partial tRNA-Gly
Source: RNAcentral